Molecule: ribosomal RNA, 131 nt
Filed under: Galium echinocarpum
Lineage: Eukaryota; Viridiplantae; Streptophyta; Magnoliopsida; Gentianales; Rubiaceae
Description: 5.8S ribosomal RNA
Rfam family: 5.8S ribosomal RNA
About the family: 5.8S ribosomal RNA (5.8S rRNA) is a component of the large subunit of the eukaryotic ribosome. It is transcribed by RNA polymerase I as part of the 45S precursor that also contains 18S and 28S rRNA. Functionally, it is thought that 5.8S rRNA may be involved in ribosome translocation.
Source: RNAcentral
GUACGACUGUCGGCAACGGAUAUCUAGGCUCUCGCAUCGAUGAAGAACGUAGCAAAAUGCGAUACUUGGUGUGAAUUGCAGAAUCCCGUGAAUCAUCGAGUUUUUGAACGCAAGUUGCGCCCGAAGCCACU